Molecule: ribosomal RNA, 472 nt
Filed under: uncultured bacterium
Lineage: Bacteria
Description: bacterial SSU rRNA
Rfam family: Bacterial small subunit ribosomal RNA
Source: RNAcentral
UGGGGAAUAUUGCGCAAUGGGCGAAAGCCUGACGCAGCAACGCCGCGUGAGUGAUGAAGGCCUUCGGGUCGUAAAGCUCUGUCGGAGGGAACGAAUGCUCCUGAAGUUAACAGCCUCAGGAGGUGACGGUACCCUCAAAGGAAGCACCGGCUAACUCUGUGCCAGCAGCCGCGGUAAUACAGAGGGUGCAAGCGUUGUUCGGAAUCAUUGGGCGUAAAGGGCGUGUAGGCGGUAUGUUAAGUCAUGUGUGAAAUCCCCCGGCUUAACCUGGGAACUGCGUCUGAUACUGGAGGGCUUGAGUAUGGGAGAGGGAUGUAGAAUUCCAGGUGUAGCGGUGAAAUGCGUAGAUAUCUGGAGGAAUACCGGUGCGAAGGCGGCAUCCUGGACCAUUACUGACGCUGAGGCGCGAAAGCUAGGGGAGCAAACGGGAUUAGAUACCCACGUAGUCCCUGAGCGGGCUGGCAAGGCGCAU